ACCGAAAUAGCUCAGUUGGGAGAGCCUUAGACUGAAGAUCUAGAGGUCCCUGGUUCGAUCCUGCAUUUCAGCA
Molecule: transfer RNA, 73 nt
Filed under: Ovis aries (sheep)
Lineage: Eukaryota; Metazoa; Chordata; Mammalia; Artiodactyla; Bovidae
Rfam family: tRNA
About the family: Transfer RNA (tRNA) molecules are approximately 80 nucleotides in length. Their secondary structure includes four short double-helical elements and three loops (D, anti-codon, and T loops).
Source: Rfam by way of RNAcentral